GACUAUUGUUUUAUUCCAUGCUAGCUACUGUUGUCAGACACUUCCACGUCCUACUAUGUUAAAUAGUGGGAUCAUGCAAUAUAAUAGCUUAUAAAGUUUAAACUAAGCUAUGAUCCAUCCAACAACCCCGGGCCAUCAUUUUCUGCUCUUUAAAUUAAGGACCAUGCUGUUUAUUAUUUUGAUUGAUUCCUAUGGGUUUAUGACUAGUGGGAACAAUA
RNAcentral lists this long non-coding RNA (218 nucleotides) under Elaeis guineensis (African oil palm). Its description in RNAcentral is "long non-coding RNA (EGUI_LNC015659)". Lineage: Eukaryota; Viridiplantae; Streptophyta; Magnoliopsida; Arecales; Arecaceae. The record is from RNAcentral.